UAUAGCAUUGAGCUUUAGGAUCUGUUCAAAAUUUAUACCAAAAAAAUUAGUGACAAUUACAAAUGAAAACAAAACUUAUAUGUAUGCGAUUGGUGCUGAAACGCAGACAAUAUCUCACAAGAAACAAGGAAGCCUUAAAGACUGGAAACAUUAAACAAGGAUGAAUUUUAAAAUGUUGUCAAACAAGAUCACUCAAUUUAAGGAAGUUGUAUGAACAAGGAAACUACUGAAAGAAGUUGUGUCAAGUGAUAUUUAACAUAACUCUUACAAAAUUUAGACAAUGUGAAUCAAAAGGGGGUACUUUUUUGAUACACCCUGUAUUUUAGAAACUGCAAGGCAUUCAAUCGAUAGCUAGAACAUAC
This is a long non-coding RNA of Dendronephthya gigantea, 362 nucleotides long. RefSeq lists it as uncharacterized. NCBI's taxonomy places the organism in Eukaryota, Metazoa, Cnidaria, Anthozoa, Malacalcyonacea, Nephtheidae. The record is from RefSeq and is a predicted model, not a curated record. The transcript is spliced from 3 exons.